UCGCCUGUUUAACAAAAACAUGUCCUUUUGUAUUUAAUUUAAGGUCUGACCUGCCCAGUGAUUUAUUUAACGGCCGCGGUAUACUGACCGUGCAAAGGUAGCAUAAUCAUUAGUCUUUUAAUAGAGGGCUGGAAUGAAAGGUUUAACGAGGAAUUAGCUGUCUCAUUUUAUUUGUUUUAAAAUUUAAUUUUUUAGUUAAAAAGCUAAAAUAAUAUUGGUAGACGAGAAGACCCUAUAGAUCUUUAUACAUAUUCAUUUAAUUAUUUUUAUAUUAAUGUUUUUAUUUGAUAUUGUAUUUUGUUGGGGUGACAAAAAUAUAAAAACAACUUUUUUAUUUUCAUAACAUUGAUAUAUGAUUAUUUGAUCCAUUCUUAUUGAUUAUUAGAUUAAGUUACCUUAGGGAUAACAGCGUAAUCCCCUUCCAGAGUUCAUAUUUACAAGGGGGCUUGCGACCUCGAUGUUGGAUUAAGAUAAUAGUUAGGUGUAGCCGCUUAAUAUAUAGGUCUGUUCGACCUUUAAAAUCUUACAUGAUCUGAGUUCAGACCGGUUUAAGCCAGGUCGGUUUCUA
RNAcentral lists this ribosomal RNA (568 nucleotides) under Diplacodes trivialis. Its description in RNAcentral is "partial large subunit ribosomal RNA". It matches the Rfam family "Bacterial large subunit ribosomal RNA", at positions 1796 to 2640 of the family's 2925-position model. The record is from RNAcentral. Lineage: Eukaryota; Metazoa; Arthropoda; Insecta; Odonata; Libellulidae.